UACGGGGGGAGCAAGCGUUGUUCGGAUUUACUGGGCGUAAAGGGCGCGUAGGCGGUCAGCACAAGUCAGUUGUGAAAUCUCCGGGCUUAACUCGGAAAGGUCAACUGAUACUGUGCGACUAGAGUGCGGAAGGGGCAACUGGAAUUCUCGGUGUAGCGGUGAAAUGCGUAGAUAUCGAGAGGAACACCUGCGGCGAAGGCGGGUUGCUGGGCCGACACUGACGCUGAUGCGCGAAAGCCAGGGGAGCGAAUGGG
Molecule: ribosomal RNA, 254 nt
Filed under: uncultured bacterium
Lineage: Bacteria
Description: partial 16S ribosomal RNA
Rfam family: Bacterial small subunit ribosomal RNA
Source: RNAcentral